AAGACUUGGCGGUGCUCUAUACCUUCUAGAGGAGCCUGUUCUAUAAUCGAUACCCCCCGAUCAACCUCACCACUUCUUGCCAAUACCGCCUGUAUACCUCCGUCGUCAACUGACCCCUCAAGGGUUAGUCAGUAAAAUGGGCUUUCCCCAAUAAGUCAGGUCAAGGUGCAGCGAAUGAAGUGGGAAGAAAUGGGCUACAUUUUCUACCUGUAGACUAUACGAAAAAUCAGUAUGAAAUCUGAUUGGAAGGCGGAUUUAGCAGUAAAAAGAGAUUAGAGAGCUCUUUUUAAACUGGCCCUAGAGCGCGCACACACUGCCCGUCACCCUCUUCAACCCCGCUUAAGCAUUUUCUUAAAUCAAUUAGGGAUUAAGAAGAGGCAAGUCGUAACAUGGUAAGUCCACCGGAAGGUGGACUUGG
RNAcentral lists this ribosomal RNA (418 nucleotides) under Megophrys microstoma (narrow-mouthed horned toad). RNAcentral describes it as "partial 12S ribosomal RNA". It matches the Rfam family "Bacterial small subunit ribosomal RNA", at positions 903 to 1521 of the family's 1533-position model. The record is from RNAcentral. Lineage: Eukaryota; Metazoa; Chordata; Amphibia; Anura; Megophryidae.